Molecule: ribosomal RNA, 468 nt
Filed under: uncultured bacterium
Lineage: Bacteria
Description: partial 16S ribosomal RNA
Rfam family: Bacterial small subunit ribosomal RNA
Source: RNAcentral
GACGAACGCUGGCGGCGUGCUUAACACAUGCAAGUCGAACGGAAAGGCCCUGCUUUUGUUGGUUGCUCGAUUGGCGAACGGGUGAGUAACACGUGAGUAACCUGCCCUUGUCUUUGGGAUAACUUCAGGAAACUGGGGCUAAUACCGGAUAUAAUCUCCUGCUGCAUGUUGUGGGUUGGAAAGUUUCGGCGGUUGUGGAUGGACUCGCGGCUUAUCAGCUUGUUGGUGGGGUAGUGGCUUACCAAGGCUUUGACGGGUAGCCGGCCUGAGAGGGUUACCGGCCACAUUGGGACUGAGAGACGGACCAGAAUCCUACGGGAGGCAGCAGUGGGGAAUAUUGCACAAUGGGCGGAAGCCUGAGGCAGAAACGCCGGGUGCGGGAUGACGGCCUUCGGGUUGUAAACCGCUGUCGCCGGUGACGAAGAGUGAGUGACGGUAAUGGGUAAAGAAGCACCGGCUAACUACGUG